CCAAUUGUUCGCCAAACAACUACGAGUCCUACUUAAAACUUAAAAGACUUGACGGUACUUCAUCACGGCCUAGAGGAGCCUGUCAAAUAACCGACAAUCCACGAUUAACCCUGCCCCUUCUCGCCUUACAGUCUAUAUACCGCCGUCGCCAGCUUACCUUGUAAAAGAAAUAAAGUGAGCUAAAUAGCACCACACUAAAACGACAGGUCGAGGUGUAACCUAUGAAGGGGAUUUAGAUGGGCUACAUUCUCCAACCAAGAAUACGAAUAACACUAUGAAACUGAUGUUUGAAGGCGGAUUUAGCAGUAAGAUAAGAAUAAAACACCUAACUGAACAUGACGCAAUGAAGUGCGUACACACCGCCCGUCACCCCUGUCACCACAAUAUUAGACUUAAUAAACCAACCAAAUAAAUCAAGCAGGGCAAGUCGUAACAAGGUAAGUGUACA
Molecule: ribosomal RNA, 448 nt
Filed under: Ovophis monticola
Lineage: Eukaryota; Metazoa; Chordata; Lepidosauria; Squamata; Viperidae
Description: partial 12S ribosomal RNA
Rfam family: Microsporidia small subunit ribosomal RNA
Source: RNAcentral